AUAUCAAUAAGCGGAGGAAAAGAAACUAACAAGGAUUCCCCUAGUAACGGCGAGUGAAGUGGGAAGAGCUCAAAUUUGUAAUCUGGCACUUUCAGUGUCCGAGUUGUAAUCUCUAGAAGUGUUUUCCGUGCCAUACUGCAUAUAAGUCUCUUGGAACAGAGCGUCAUAGUGGUGAGAACCCCGUAUUUGAUGCAGAUGUUGGUACUCUGUGAUACACUUUCGACGAGUCGAGUUGUUUGGGAAUGCGAGCUCAAAUUGGGUGGUAAAUUCCAUCUAAAGCUAAAUAUUGGCGAGAGACCGAUAGCGCACAAGUA
Molecule: ribosomal RNA, 314 nt
Filed under: Betula environmental sample
Lineage: Eukaryota; Viridiplantae; Streptophyta; Magnoliopsida; Fagales; Betulaceae
Description: partial large subunit ribosomal RNA
Rfam family: Eukaryotic large subunit ribosomal RNA
Source: RNAcentral